GGAUUUUGUUGCAUUUUUGGAGGUACUUUUAUUCGAUUUUGCCCGUGGUUACUGCAGACAUCCAUUGUUUGUAAAAAUACAGGAAGCUGUUUCCCCGUGGAGCUCCAGCAGUGCUAGAGGGCUAAAGAAAACUUCCCCUGACAUCUUACCUGCAAGGUGGUGAAUGCAGAGUUCAAUAGGGUAGUCACCAAGAACCUACAGGUGGACUUUUUUGAUGAAAGGCUUCGUCUGUCUUUAUUUCUCAUGAAUCCAGAUGUGACGGCAGUGCGUACCAUUGUACUCCGGGGCCUCCCUGUUCUGCUUGGUGAUGAUCCCAGUGACUUCUACAACACCUGCUUUAAGCAAUGCCACAGCACACCCUAAAAAUAGAGUGUUCCCUCAACUCAGGAGGAUUCCAUGAUGCUCUGCAACAUUCCUGGUGUGAACCAUCUGCAGAGGUGGCAGGCAUGGGCAAGGGAUCAAAACGCUCACAUUACCAACAACAGGAGAACUUUCUGGUGACUUGGCGGAUGACCUUGAGGACAUUCACUUUGGGAUACCAUCUUAAAUAAGUUUAUUCCAAAAAAUGUAAACUGUCCAUUGUUCUUAAAAACAAUGGACUAACAUAAAAAUUGAUUAAACCAGAUCAAAAAGCCCAGUGAUCCUUAAUCUUUUAAAAUUGCUACUCAAAUAUCAUUGAAUUGUUUUUAAGGUACCAACAAGGGAUCUUUCAUGGUCUUUGCAUCAAGAACCAUUUUCUGGUACUAUAUACAACCCUUAGUUGCUAAAAGUGUAACACAUAUGAGAGCUAACUGCUGCCAACCCCACCCCACCCCCCUUCAGCAAAACGUAAGUCAGUAUUUACUGUAUGUUAAAUGUGUCAUUAUUCCUAUGCUAACCUGGCAUGCUAACAAUCCUGCAAAAGUUCCACAAACUGCAUGAUUAGUCAAGCCUAGAGGUUAUGAAUUUAAUGGAUUAAUUUCCAUUGUAAUCUUGUAAUCUCUUAAUGUUUUAAUGUAAUAUUUUGGAUACUGCUGCAAGACAAAGUGGCUAAGGAGUUCACCCUCAUCUCCACAGGGUGUCUGAAAAUUCCAUCAAGUGAAAUUUCAGACAUUUUAAAACUUUUUAAUGCAGGUUACAAUGACAUUUGUGACCACAUGGCAACCAAAAUAAACAUCAAAAUGACAACAAUUAUUGAUCUGGUUUGAACUGUAAAUUUUGUAAUUUACAUUUUUUUUAAUUUUAUUUUUCCAGAUCAUAAUACUGUGUGUUAUUUAUUUAUUCAUGCAAAGCACCUUA
Long non-coding RNA from Myripristis murdjan (pinecone soldierfish), 1278 nucleotides. RefSeq lists it as uncharacterized. The record is from RefSeq and is a predicted model, not a curated record. The transcript has 4 exons. Lineage: Eukaryota; Metazoa; Chordata; Actinopteri; Holocentriformes; Holocentridae.